This 1098-nucleotide long non-coding RNA is filed under the name Gadus morhua (Atlantic cod). RNAcentral describes it as "lncRNA (ENSGMOG00000030713.1)". Lineage: Eukaryota; Metazoa; Chordata; Actinopteri; Gadiformes; Gadidae. The record is from RNAcentral.
GUCUCCAGUCUACUAUUAAUCAGAAGAGAGAGGAGCGGGGUCCUACCUCGAAGACCACUAUGUCUGGGGAACAUGGCCGCCAGGGCCCAGAGCAGCAGGAGGGAGCAGAAGACAGCAACAGCGAGGUGGAAGAGGAGGAGGAUGAUGGUGGUGCGGAGGAAGUCAACGAACCUGUCCACCCUAUGGAGGGCUUACAGCCGGUGGAUGGGGAGGCCAACUUGCCGAAAUAUCACAAAGUUGGUAGAGAAAGAAAGAAAGAAAAAAAGAAAAAAGGAGGGAAAGAAGGAAAGAAAGAAAUAAUGGAAGAAAUGCAUGAAGAAAGAAAGAAAGAAAGAAAGAAAGAAUAACGCUUAUGAAGAACAAUAGGUGAGCGCUGCAUGCAGCACUCACCUAAUUAGCGUUUUACUUCGAACAUUUUGAUUAUUAUGAUAAUUACUGUAUUAUUAUAAUAAUUAUUACUAUUAUGUUUAUUAUUGUAACAUCUGUAUAAUUGUUAUAAUAAUUAUUAUUGUAGUAUUUGUAUUAUUAAUGUUAUUAAAAUGGCCAUUAUAAUUGUAUUAUUGUCAUGAUUGUAAUUUCAAGAUCUGGGGAUGUGGUUGUGAUCUAAACGUCCUGAGGAAGUCAGUUUAAGGUCGUCAGUCAGACUGGCUCAACAGGACAGGAAACCUCAGAGGAUGAUUUCCUCAUAGUGAGCGUAUCUGUCUUCUGGUUCCCCUGCAGAUGCACUCGAAGCCUUGAGAGACAUUCAGUGUGAGUGAUAAAGUUAUCAGUGGUUUGUAGUAAACACUGGGCAGCUUCUCCAUGUCUUUCCCCUCGUUGAGACUGAGAACAGCAAUGACAAAAAGCAGGUUCCAUAUAAGCAGGGAAUAACCAAACGCUGAAUGACCAGGGGAAACUGAAAUCUAGCAAAGAUGAAAUAUCUUAAAUCAAGGCAAAAUAUUCUUGUUUUUUGUCUGUCAAGAUAUUUCUUCUUACCAGGCAGUUUUUGCGUCAGAGCAUUUCACUUGAUUUAAGUGUUUCUUUCCUGAAUUAUCUUAAUAAGGCAUUAUAACCUGUUAUUGAACAUCCUCAAGAUGGUAUUUUACUUGUACAUACGUU